This 433-nucleotide ribosomal RNA is filed under the name uncultured bacterium. RNAcentral's name for it is "bacterial SSU rRNA". It matches the Rfam family "Bacterial small subunit ribosomal RNA", at positions 29 to 507 of the family's 1533-position model. The record is from RNAcentral.
AACGAACGCUGGCGGCAUGCCUAACACAUGCAAGUCGAACGAGACCUUCGGGUCUAGUGGCGCACGGGUGCGUAACGCGUGGGAAUCUGCCCCUCGGUUCGGAAUAACACAGAGAAAUUUGUGCUAAUACCGGAUGAUGACUUCGGUCCAAAGAUUUAUCGCCGAGGGAUGAGCCCGCGUAGGAUUAGCUUGUUGGUGGGGUAAUGGCCUACCAAGGCGACGAUCCUUAGCUGGUCUGAGAGGAUGAUCAGCCACACUGGGACCGAGACACGGCCCAGACUCCUACGGGAGGCAGCAGUGGGGAAUAUUGGACAAUGGGCGAAAGCCUGAUCCAGCAAUGCCGCGUGAGUGAUGAAGGCCUUAGGGUUGUAAAGCUCUUUUACCAGGGAUGAUAAUGACAGUACCUGGAGAAUAAGCUCCGGCUAACUCCGUG